Molecule: ribosomal RNA, 1334 nt
Filed under: metagenome
Description: bacterial LSU rRNA
Rfam family: Bacterial large subunit ribosomal RNA
Source: RNAcentral
UUGAUCCUCCGCUGCCAAGAAAAGCUGCUAAGGAAUAUAGAGGUGCCCGUACCGCAAACCGACACAGGUAGACAGGUAGAGAAUACUAAGGCGCGCGAGAUAACUCUUGUUAAGGAACUCUGCAAAAUGAACCCGUAACUUCGGGAGAAGGGUUGCUCUCUAGCGUGAGUAUGAGCAAUACAGAGCGCAGGAGAGUCGCAGUGAAAAGGUCCAGGCGACUGUUUAGCAAAAACACAGGUCAUUGCAAAAUCGCAAGAUGAAGUAUAAUGGCUGACGCCUGCCCGGUGCUGGAAGGUUAAGGGGAAGAGUGCAAGCUUUGAACCGAAGCCCCAGUAAACGGCGGCCGUAACGAUAACGGUCCUAAGGUAGCGAAAUUCCUUGUCGGGUAAGUUCCGACCCGCACGAAAGGCGAAACGAUCUGGACGCUGUCUCAACAAGGGACUCGGUGAAAUUGAAAUUCCGGUAAAGAUGCCGGAUACCUGCGAUAGGACAGAAAGACCCCAUGGAGCUUUACUGUAGCCUGAUAUUGGGUUUCGGAUAUUCAUGUACAGGAUAGGUGGGAGACUAAGAAGCAUGGACGCCAGUUUGUGCGGAGUCACUGGUGGGAUACCACCCUUAAAUGUUUGGAAUUCUAACAAGGAGUCUUGAAGCAGAUUAUUGGACAGUGUCAGGUGGGCAGUUUGACUGGGGCGGUCGCCUCCCAAAAGGUAACGGAGGCGCUCAAAGGUUCCCUCAGAACGGAUGGAAAUCGUUCGCAGAGUGCAAAGGCAGAAGGGAGCUUGACUGCGAGAGCCACAACUCGAGCAGAUAGGAAACUAGGACUUAGUGAUCCGGCGGUCGCGAGUGGAAGUGCCGUCGCUCAACGGAUAAAAGCUACCCUGGGGAUAACAGGCUUAUCUCCCCCAAGAGUUCACAUCGACGGGGAGGUUUGGCACCUCGAUGUCGGCUCAUCGCAUCCUGGGGCUGAAGUAGGUCCCAAGGGUUGGGCUGUUCGCCCAUUAAAGCGGUACGCGAGCUGGGUUCAGAACGUCGUGAGACAGUUCGGUCCCUAUCCAUCGCGGGCGUAGGAAAUUUGAAGGGAGCUGACCCUAGUACGAGAGGACCGGGUUGGACAGACCGCUGGUGAACCAGUUGUUCUGCCAAGAGCAUAGCUGGGUAGCUAAGUCUGGAAAAGAUAAACGCUGAAAGCAUCUAAGCGUGAAGCGAACCUUAAGAUGAGAUUUCCCACAACGAAAGUUGAUAAGACACCAGAGAGAAUAACUGGUAGAUAGGUCAGGAGUGUAAGUGUGGUGACACAUUGAGCGGACUGAUACUAAUAAGUCGAAGACUUAGCC